This 128-nucleotide ribosomal RNA is filed under the name uncultured bacterium. RNAcentral's name for it is "partial 16S ribosomal RNA". The record is from RNAcentral.
CCGCGUGAGUGAUGAAGGCCUUCGGGUUGUAAACCUCUUUUGUCCGGAACGAAAAUGACUNGACCGGGAUAAUAGGCUCCUGAUAUCUCCGUGACAGUACCCCCCGGCUUACUACAUGCCCGCCGCCG